Molecule: long non-coding RNA, 214 nt
Filed under: Panax ginseng (ginseng)
Lineage: Eukaryota; Viridiplantae; Streptophyta; Magnoliopsida; Apiales; Araliaceae
Description: long non-coding RNA (PGIN_LNC015447)
Source: RNAcentral
UUCCGAAAGCACACUACGAUUUCUGAGUUGGCUCGGCAGGCGUUUGGACCACUCUACGAUUUCAGGAGAGGCCCUUCAAAGCAGACACACUACGAUUCUCGAUGCUCUACGAUUCUGCCUUAGGUUCUGCAAUCUCUUGAUCAGAUUGAUAGACUACGAUUCUGUUGAAGCCUAUCUAUUACAUCUCAAGAUAUAGAUCAACCUAACAACUUUG